CAGCGUGCUGCAUCUCAGCCAACUCCAGGAGCCAGUUGAUGUGAUGGACUACCUUAAUUGAUUUUUGAAUGUUGAGCCAGCCUUAUGCAUGUGGGAUAAACCCCUGUUGAUCAUGGCUGGCUGGAGUGCAGUGGUGCAAUCAUGGCUCACUGCAACCUCAAAUUCCUGGGCUCAAGGGAUCCUCCUGCCUCAGCCUCCCAAGUAGCUAGGACUACAGGUAUGUGCCACCACUCCCAACUAAUUUUUUUAUUUUUUGUAGAGACGAGAUCUAACUUUGUUGCCCAGGCUGGUAUUGAACUCUUGGGUUCAAGUAAUCCUCCUGCCUCAGUCUCCUAAAGUGCUAGGGUUAUAGAUGUGAGCCACUGUACCCAGCCAGGUUGUAUAUUGAAAUAAUAAUUUCUUAAUAUAUUGAAUUAAAAUAUAUUUAAGGCA
This 432-nucleotide long non-coding RNA is filed under the name Homo sapiens (human). RNAcentral's name for it is "non-protein coding GMDS-DT:108". Lineage: Eukaryota; Metazoa; Chordata; Mammalia; Primates; Hominidae. The record is from RNAcentral.